Molecule: long non-coding RNA, 232 nt
Filed under: Gossypium barbadense (sea-island cotton)
Lineage: Eukaryota; Viridiplantae; Streptophyta; Magnoliopsida; Malvales; Malvaceae
Description: long non-coding RNA (GBAR_LNC002077)
Source: RNAcentral
GAUUACUAACACGUUAAUCUAACUAUCAAAAACGACUAUGUAUUAACCCCUUACCAUAUUCGGCCAACCAUGCCUAAAACCCUAUUGCUCUUACCUUCUUGCCGAAAUUUGGAUUAGAUCCAAGGAUCCAACCGAAUAGUCUUCAAGUCCUUCGCUGGACGCUCCCUUGUCCACACUAAUGCUUACAUAUUCAAAAAAGAAAUAGGCAUAAUGCCCUUAGUCCAAACGUUAG